RNAcentral lists this ribosomal RNA (257 nucleotides) under uncultured bacterium. RNAcentral describes it as "partial 16S ribosomal RNA". It matches the Rfam family "Bacterial small subunit ribosomal RNA", at positions 524 to 776 of the family's 1533-position model. The record is from RNAcentral.
UACAGAGACCUCAAGCGUUAUCCGGAAUCAUUGGGCGUAAAGCGUACCGAUAGGUGGUCUAAAAAGUCAGAAGUGAAAUCUCAAGGCUCAACUUUGAGACUGUCUUUUGAAACUUUUAGACUAGAGGGGCAAAGAGGAAGCUGGAACGAACGGUGUAGUAGUGAAAUGCGUUGAUAUCGUUCGGAACACCAAUAGCGAAGGCGGGCUUCUGGGUGCCACCUGACACUGCUAGGACGAAAGCGUGGGGAGCGAACGGG